Molecule: long non-coding RNA, 3961 nt
Filed under: Marmota monax (woodchuck)
Lineage: Eukaryota; Metazoa; Chordata; Mammalia; Rodentia; Sciuridae
Source: RNAcentral
AGCAGUGCCAUCUGUCAGGCCGGCUGCCCUGCUGGCCACUCCCACAGCCCCUGGGGGAGCGCAGCGCAGUGUCCCUGGGAGUUCCUGCUCUGCAGGCUCAGAUGAGACAAGUGGGCCUCACCUUGGUCUGGAAACUUCUUUUUCAUACAUGGGCCCUUUCCUGCAGAAGAGGGUUGUCUCGUGUGUUCCUUGGUACCCAGAAGGCCUGGCAAAGGGGGGGACACAGCGACUCCCUGGUGGUCUAGUGGCACCAAAGCAACAGUCACACGACGGUGCCCCCAAGCCCAGGAUGGACCUUCGGUGGUCCCCACAUCUACUGGACAGUCCAGUCCUUGGGCUCUUCGGCUUUACUCCUCAGGGAAAAUGGACCCAGAGUUCUGCAGCCCUCCUCUGGCCUGUCUUGCUGUGGCCAGGGUUGGUCUGCUGUCCCCAGCCUGUUCCAGGCCAGCCUCCCUGCGCCCCACUGAAGAGCUAGCUAUCAGCCUCUCGGUGGUGAUUAAGAACUCACUCUAUUAACUAUUGACUCACAGUCUGAAAAUGUGCCCGUGGCAUAGCUGUGGCCAGCGGGCCUGGCUUGGUGGCCCCAGGCCCCGCCUGGCCUCACUGCCAGAGGGUCCCCUCCCAGGCAUGCACACGGCCAGCACCUUCCUGCCACCACAGUGACCUUCCUUGCGGAGCCUGGAGCUCAGCCUCACCAGGGUUUGGCCCCAGACCUGGGCCGAAGGGGCGGAGUGGCGAGGCCAUCUGGGGUGGAAUCAGUGUUCAGACGGGAGAGGAAAUUGCCCUGAGAUGGCCGAGACGGCAGGAAGAAGGAGCCUGGACAGCCAAGUUCAACAGAGGGGACUCGGGUGGGGGCUGGAGGCCACUCUCCAGCAGGGCUCUGGGUGCCCCGCCCUGGCCAUGCGGUGCUCUGCUCUGCUGACAUGGGGCCCAGUCAAGGCUGAGGACCAGAGGGAGAGCUACCUCCCCUUCUUCUGCCUCCUCGAGCAUUGGCCAGGCUGGACAGGCCUGGACAGGAGCCCCAGAGAUGUGGUGGUCCCCCCAAGAGCAGAAUGGGGAGGGUCAAGGUGGGUGUGAGUGUAGGUGCAGCCCCCGUGGAUGGGUGGUCCAGACUGGUCACCAGCCCUGGGCUGGACUUCCCUGGAGGACUUGAGGGUGUUGUCUCCUUGCAGUCCUUGGGCCCUGGUCUAUCUGCCCCUUUAACACAACAGUGAGGCACCUCAUGAGCCCUGAACCCUACACCCAGAGGGCAGGGUUGGGCCUUUGCUCUAGGGUCCCCCUAGCUGCUCCUGCCACUGUCCACACCCUGGGAAUGGGGUGAGUGUUGGAGGAGUACAUGUGGAGCGCAGGAAGCGCGGUCUCUGAGGCUGGGCUCCAGGGGAGCUCCCGACCUGACGCGUCUCCCCUGUGAACCGGGCUGUGGGGAAGGGGAAGGGGAAGGGGCUGGUCAGGGCCAGGCUGGCCUGCUGGAGAGGACAGCUGGGGCCACGACCAAGCGUGGUCAGUGACAUGGCUGCUGAUGACUGACCUGGGCGAUCAGUCCUGCCCACGGCCCCAGAGGUGCUCCCCGAUGGCUGGAGACAGUGGCCCCGGGUCCCUUGGACACACCCUCUGGGUCCUCCUUGGCCUCACCAUGGCUCAGCAGCUCAGGUGGUGGCUGUCUGAUCUGGGGGCAGAAGCAGUACCCUGAGAGUCACCCUGAGUAGCCUGCAGCUCAGCAAUGACACUGUCUGAAGACCAAGGUGUGUCCAGUACUUCCCGAGGGCCUGCUGUGUGCUGGGUCUAUUGAGUUGCACCGAGCCUCCUUGCCGCCCUGGGGCAGUGGGGCAGGAGAGGCCUCGGGGCCACUCUGCACCUUCCACUCGGGGCUCCUCCUGAACUCCAGGCUUCCGGGGGCUGGGCAGGAGCAGGGGCAGGACCAGGAUGGAUGACAAGGACCCCCUCCCACCUGGCCGAAUGUGACGGACCCAAGCAGAGGCCAAGUCUGUAUGAGUUUCUUCCCCAAAUACCCAAGCCUUCUGCUGUCCAGUGCACCUUGGCUCUUGAGGGAGCGUCCUGUGUGACUCUGGAAACUUCCAGUGCCCUGGACUCCCUGGGAGGCAUGUUGUGAGGUUUCUGAUCCCUCCUGUGAGUCCCGGGGAGAUUGGCCUCCGGAGGCUUCCUUGCCCAAAGCCCUUCCAGGUGGGCAGCAUGGGGGAGGAGCAGGGGAGGGGCCUUCGGAGGACUGUGGCAAGGAGGAUUGUCCUGUCCAGAGGCACUGGGAGGUGACUGGGCGGUGGCAACCUGUGGGCCGGGCACCAUGAGCCCCCUGAAGAGGCGGGAGGAGGCUACGGGUGGCAGGUGGGCAGCUGCGUGGCAGAGGGAGGGGCCCAGAGCUCAGGGAACAGAGGCCGGCGGGGAGGAGAUGGCUGGACGAGGCGCGAGACCCAAGGCCUCUGGGCACAGGUGGGAAGGCAACAGGGCAGCGGCCUUUGUUGGGCUUCAGAGACCUGGGUUCCGGCUGCCCUGACGGCGCUGGCCCUGGGGCUGGCUUCUUCCCCGGAGAUGGGCUGGUGCUUCUUGCUCUGCCCUUGUCCAGCUACGGAAGGUUGGAUGAGCUGGUCUAGGUGACAACAGCUCCUCUGCGGAGGUGUCCCCAGGGCCUCCGUCCUUUUCCUGCAGCUGUAGCCGACAGACGGUCAUCGAUAGGAAACUGGCCGGCAAGGUGAGGAGCAAGGCAGCGGGGCCUCGCUCCACAGAUGAAGGGCAGAGGGAGAAAGUGCCACACAGAGGAGAGGGGGAGCUCGCCCUGCAGCACACCAGCCUCGCGGUGACAGCCCUGACCCAGGCGCCGCCUCAAGACCCUGUCACUUCUGAAAGGCCCGUCUCUUGAUCCCGUGCCAGCAGCAAUGACAUCCCCACUUGAGCUCUGGAGAGGUGUGGCAGCCAUGUGCUGGAUGGAGAACGCUCCCCUGGUUCUCUGCGCCGGGCCUCCCUUGAGAGCUGCCUGUCCACACAGUGCCCUGGGCCCCCCCGGCCCCAUCAGGAUCCGCAAACCAACCCUCCUGAUGACACCUUGCUGGGCCCACAGCCACGGUGGACAUCACCAAUUCACUGCAGAACCCCUUCCUGCGGAGGGGCUCUGCCCCUGAGUCCUCGGGCUCAGCUCUGUAGGUGGAUCCCAGGUGCUCCCAAGACAAGCCCCCACCCCCCACCCAGGCCAAGUGUCCACCGUGUUGCUGGGUUCUGGGGACGAGCAGAGCAGAGGGCCCAGUCGCACGUGCCGACCUUUGUCUUCUGAGGACACUCUGUGGAAUGCGUGCUCUGGGCAGGGGCCAGAUCGCCUGAGAAGGAGAGGAGGUCCUGUCGGGGGCAUCUGGACGCCAGACUUAGAGGUUGAGCUCAUCCUGGUGUAGGGCCAGCCGCUCGCUCUUCCCGAGGAUCCUGGAGCCAGGCCAGGCCUGGGGUGGGGGUCAGGGCGGGGUUUGAACCAUCGCUACAUGGCUUCUCUAGAAUCCCAGAGGGUCAGUGGUGCAUGGGCAAUGUGUUCCACUGUGCAGAGAGUGCCUUUUCCUUGUCCUGGGUCCUCAGAUGUUUUGGGCACAGGAAAAUGGGGACCUCGGGGAGGCCUAGUGGGCCAAAGGCCUUGUGUUCAUCCCAAGCUAUCACCACCAUGCUGUGUGGCCAUGGGCACUUCCGUUGCCCUCUCUGGGACACUGUUUCCCCAUUUGUGACUCUGCCUCGUCCCUCAAUGGGCAUUGCCCUCAUGGACUCUGCUUUCUAGGCCAACAGUUAGCACUGCAUAAAUGAAGAGCUGGCCGAAGGAACCUGGCCUACGGUGUGAAGUGUCUUGGAAGACAUCGGAAGAGGGCUGGGGAUGUGGCUCAAGCCGUAGCGCACUCUCCUGGCAUGUGUGGGGCGCUGGGUUCGAUCCUCAGCACCACAUAAAAAAAAAUAAAGAUGUUGUGUCCACCAAAAACUA